UUUUUUUUUUUUUUUUUUUUGUUUAUUAAGAUGUGAAUAGAAGAAUUGAGUGUAGCACGUGCUGAAAUUAAAUGAACCGUCCCCGGGUAGCGUUGCUCGAGAUGGGUUUUUGUUUUUCAAUCUUUCAGUUGACCAGACCACCUCCGUGACUUGGGAGGAGACACAUUUGUAUUUUUAUAUUUAUUUGUUUUCUUUUUUUAAAUUGCCUUGUAUGCAUUCCCUCCUUGGUAGCCCCCGUUUUUGAGUGAGAUGAUGCAUGGCACGACCCUCUUUGCAUUUUGCAAGGUGGCGUCCACUUCUUAAUUGUUGUUUACUUAUUUUUAAUUAUUUAUUUAUUUUUUUCCUAAGUGAAACUUAGACAUAUAAACCAAAUUAUUUCUUUCCUUUUUAUUUUGUGUUAUUACUAUAAAUAAUACCUUAUCCCAUAUUAAAAGUAAUUUGGAUUAUUAGGAGUAUAACGUACCUUCUACUGCAACGCACAUUAAAAUAUUUGGGGAAUAGAAUACACUUAUUCUACAUUCCAUAAUUUAUUAUUAUUAUUUCAUAAAUAUUAAAUCAUGCAAAUUUUGUUAUGAGAAGUUGAGUAUUCCUCUAUUUUUUUCUUCCUCCUCAUAAGUUCUCCCUUUUCAUUGAAACAUGAAAAUAUAUAUAAAAAAAAAAACAAUAAUAUAACAAUUGAAACAAAAUGAAAAAAGAGUUGGUCUAAUUUGGUGAAACAUAUGGUAAUAUGUUAUCUUAAAACUGUUAUCACCUCCCUACAUGCAGUGUUAACAAAUGGUAGCCGCUCUAAAAUACAACCUCAACCAUUGGCUAAAACUAUGGGAACCUAUCCAUAAUUCUAUUGUCUAAAAACUAUGAAAAACUCAAAAGAAGAUAUCUUUAUAAUAUUAUUUUUUUCCAUAAAAAUGAAAGGUCUUUUUAAUAAUAAAAAUAUGAUCAUUGUUUGAGUAUUAGUAAUUACCUUAGAAUAGUCAACUCCAUGAAUCUCACAAAUAUCAAUAAAACUCAUCAAAUCCCACACAAGAUUGGAAAAAUAAAAGUCACUUAUUGUCUUUAACCUUUACAAUAAUAAAAGGUAUGAUACCAAGAUUUUAACCUCUUUUUUAUUUUAUUUUUUUGUAAAAGAAAGUUUUAACUUUUAUAUUUUUGAGUAAAAUCUUACAUUCCUCCACAAGGUUUAAAACUUCAAAAUAAUAAUGAAAAUAAGUAAAUAAAUUAAUGGACAACGUUAUACUAUACAAUAUCUAUAGGUAUUUUUUGGACUUGAACUUACACUUAGUAUUAACAAUUUCCAUUUGAGGAUCCAUAGUGAAUUAUGUCUUGAACUACGUCCUUAAGCCAAACUUUAGCAUGACACACACAUAGUAUUGAUAUGAAACUUGAUUCUAAGAGAGUUAGUGAAUGUUAUUAAUGGUCAUGCACUAGUAUCUUGAUUCUCAUGAGAGUUACUAAGGAAUAACCCUACUCCCAUAGUCAUGGUCAUAGGAUGACUCUCAUUUAAGUGAGUCCUCCAAGGGUACAUAUGACUUGUACCUCAUAGAAUUUUUUAUCUUGGACCCAUUUAGGGAAAUACUCUUCCAAACAUCACAUCAAAAGCACUAUCACCAUAGUGAUGUAAAUUAGACUCUCUCCUGAAAAAUAGUGCUAUAAAGUUACGUAUUACAAAUUAUUUCUAUCCAUUUAACCUUCUUCAUGAUAUCUCCGAUCACAAAUGUUAAGUUACCAUUGGAGGUGACUCCUUUAAGGCCUUCAACCCAUCCCCCUUGAUGAUUCUAAGAUAGCAUUUCUAGAAAGACCCUUGGUCAACUAAUUGACAAAAUUCUUUCAGAUCUAAAAUCCAAGGAUGUCGAAUAGUAAGUUUUUAAUGCAUUCUGCCUCAAUGUAUAUUAUAUCAAGCGCAAUUAACUUAGAUUUCAUUGCUUCUUGAUAUUAUAGUUUGUUUUAAAUCCCUAAGAAAUAACAACACCUCUUAGAAGGAUAUUAUAUCUAAUAGUGAAUUUGACAUCUAAAUUUUCAAUUAUCCAAUUUACAUCACUAUAUCCUUCCACUACAUUAAGGAAUCCUUCGUAACAUAAAGAGUAAUCUAAACUUUCUCUAAGAUACUUAAAAACUCUUUAAAGCAACCCAAUUUUCCUUGCUAGGAUUAUGAUUAUACCUACUUAGUCUCCCCGCUACAUAUGUUAUACCAUUGUUAGUCUAGUUAUUUGAAAUAUACAAUAAAGACCCUAUUAUUUGAGAAUCAUUAAUUGUUGUAUUGCUCUCCAACAUUUUUCUUCAAAUGCAUAUGGGAAUCAUAGGGUGUGGAUAUUGGUUUACUAUCAAAGUAAUUAAAUUUUCUUAAUAUUUUUUCAAUGGCACUUCAUUGAUCCAAAUUUGUACCCUCAACUGUUCUUAAAAGUCUCAUUCCUAAUAUUAUGUAUCUCUCCUAAAUCCUUCGUCUCAAAGUUCAUAGAUAAAUAAUCUUUCAUGUCAUUCACUAUUCUAUACUACUUCCAAAAAUUAGAAUAUCACCUACGUAAAAACAAAGUAUGUUACAUUCUUUUAGAUCCAUUUUAUAAUAAAUACAUUUAUCAUAAUCAUUAAUCUUAAACCUAAAAUCCAAUAUGACUUUAUCAAACUUUUUAUGUCACUAUUUUAAAGCUUGCUUAAGACCAAUAUAAUGACUUGACCGUUUUCAAGAAUAGGGUGACUUCACUAAUUUCUAUUUAAUUUCUCUCUUAAUGUUGUUUAUGAUUCCUCUAGUUUAUGGGUGGGCUAAAUUUAUAUAUUACCUAAUUUUUAUUUAUUCCACCUCAUCAAAAAUUCAUGUUGGUUAGCCUUUUAUUCAUUCAAAAUCAUCAAAGAUUAUAUAGGUUAUCCUUUCAUUCAUUCCAACUCAUUAAGGAUGCACAUAGUUGCACUCUUUAUUUUUCUUCUACCUCUCCAUACCAUUAUAUACAAUUAUAUGAUUAUAUUUUUAUUUUUGUAAAUAGUAGAAGAAAAAGCAAGGAUGUCUCUUCCAAUCUUGUGAAAUAAUAAAUGUUAUAAAGUUAAAUUUUGGAUGCAUAAAAAUAGAAAGUUAAUUAAGUAUUAUUAAGCAAUCUUACUUUUUACCUUAAUCCAUGACACAUAAUACGAAAUUGAUUGAUAAAUCAACUCAAAUUCAUAUUUCACAUCAUGGAUAAAGGUAAAACAUAAUACCAAUUAAUUAAUUUUUUAUUUUAUCAUUUUUCUAAUCCAAGUCUCUAAUUGGUUGCCUUGAUUAAUUAGAUCAUCUACCAAGCUUUUUAUAUACAUUUCCAAAGAAAUAAGUCUAUAAUCAAUAAACAUAAUCAUACACGACCAUAAUUAAUACAAAUGCUAACAGUAAUAGGUGAAGAGAGAUGUCCAUCACUUGGGGAGUGAAAAAAGGUAUGAUGUUUGAAAGGGCCGAGCAGGGUUAUCAAUUAGGGAUGACAAUAGGGCAGAUUCGGAAUGGGUCGCCCCCAUCCCAACCCCGUCUCGUUUAUUCAAAAUUAUUUUCAUCCUCAUCCCAUUUAAAAAAUUAAACAGGACGAGACGAGUAUGAUAAAUUCUCAUACCCGUCCCACUUUGCCCCGUUUAACUAUAUUUUUUGAAUUUUAAUUUUUUUUAAAUUACUUUUAAAAUUUUUAAUUAUAUUAAAAUAAUUAUAUUUUAUAAAUAAUUAAAUUAUUAUAUUUUUUAUAACUUAUUUUAUUAAAAAUAUUUUUUUAUUAUUUAUAUAUUAAAAAUAGUAAAAUAAAAAUUAAAUUAAAUUAAUUUUAAAAUUUAAAUUAAAUUAAUUUUAUAUAUAAUCGGGACGGGACUUGGUAAUAUCCGAACCCGGCUCCAGGUUUAAAAAAAAAUUAUCAAACCCGUUUAUUAAAAUUGAAUCUCGUCCCACUAAAAGCGAGACAAACAGUACCUGAAAGAACCGGUCCACUGCCAUCCCUGUUAUCAAUUAGAGGCUUACUCAUUUUUAAACCAUUGGCUGAAGAGUAAAGGUCUCCCCACACAUGCCUGUUAUUAUCAAAACUAGAGUCGAACAAACUGACUAGUCAAAACAGAAAAGAGAUGAUGAGAGAUGAUUUUUGGGGAAGGGUACUAUCAAGUCAAUUAUAGAUGCCAAUUAUCAAGACAAGCUCUGACACUAACUAGUGCACAUGGUGAAUUCUAUGCUAGGCUACCGUAUAAAUGAUCAUUAUUGCUUUGCAUGUGAAGUAGAUGUAACAUCUAGUGACAUCCUUCUGCAACAGGGAGAUCCUUUAACAAGCACUUAACAAGACAUCAAUUGAGCUUUAGAGGAUAGGAUGGGAAGAAUACUUUUUUUUUUUUUUUUUUAUUUUAUCUCAAGAGGCAUAUCAGAUGAUAUUGUCUUAUUUGUUUAUCCUCUUAUACCUUAAUCUCAUUUAUUUGUAUCAUUUAUUUAACGAUCGAGAUCUUAUAUAUCGUAUAUAUUUCAAGACCCAAAUCUUUUGUUCGAGAGGUACCACUUUGGUAUCUUAGCAUUUUCCUUGAAGGAUGGAUAGUUGGAAGGAGUCAAUUUCAAUGGAAGCUGUGAAAUAAUAUGCUUAGAAAAGAUGAGGUUGGGUAAAUUAGUAAUAGUUUCAGGCAAAGCAACAAUAAGAGACAUGGUGAAUGAAAGAGAAAAAGAAGAUACUUGUUGGAGCUUCACAGUCUGAUUCCAUAACAGCAAAAAAAAAAACAAAGAAAAUUUUGAAUUGUAUUAUGAUUCACUAAUUUGAUGUCACAGAUGUGUACAGGAUGCUAGAAAUUAAUUUACAGUAAUAAUCACUAGUCAACCUAAAAUCUAGACAGUCUUUUUUUUUUUUGGUUAUCCAUAUUCUUUUGGGAGAAAGCUCCAAAUAAUGAGUAUAAUCAGCACCUCAGAUGUGAAGUUCCAUGUUAAAUGGCGAAAAUAAAGCAGGCCUAAGAAGACUGACAGGCAAAGGAGGUUGUUCAUGUUUACUGCCCCAUAAAUCUGCACCAAACAAUUCAUAUAGUGUUAUUGGAUUAGAAUAACACAACAGCAACACAAAAUUCACUAAGAUAGAGAAAAGCAGCAACGAAGUAGUCUAACAUCAACUUCUAUACAUAUAAAUUUGUAGGAGAAGAAAACCUCUGAAACUGUUAAAGGAGCAAUCCUCAAUUUCUUUUGGCUGGCAAAGAUUAGAGCAGACACUGCUUCACUUGAGCUAGCAAAAGGCAGAACAAUGAAUGAGACAAAGAAAGGAGGAAUGUUUGUAGCAGAGUAGAAGUUGCCAACAGCAUUGACAAGAGGAUCGACAAAUGUAGCAGCGAUAAGAGUUCCCAACAGCAAUAUAAACACUCCUUUGAAGGCACUCCAUUUGGGAUUUUCAAUCUUCUCAGCCGUAUAAAACUGAAUCCCCAGAAGCUCAUUCCCUUUGCUUGUGGGCUGAAUAUGCAUUUUAAAGAUGUCAGAUUACUAGUAGUGAGGACUUGAUCAGGACUAAACCGAGAAUAACAUGAAACUGACUAACAUACCGUGUUGAAGUCAUCUAUAAUUAUUCUUGUCUGGAAAUCACUGUCACUUGAACAAACUGCUGAAUGCUUAGCCUUAUCAUACCAUUUUGAGAUUCCUAUGAUAAAUGCAUCCAAGUUAAUUUUGGAAUCCCCACAUGCAUCAAAAUCUGUCAAUACUUUCCCAACAGCCUCAUCAAUAUCUGAAUCUUCUUUAAUCUGGAUUCCUGUUAUCAGUGCUCUUAACUCACUAGCCGAAAGCUGCUGAUCUGAAUCCUCUCCAAUCAUCUCAAAUAACCUGUCAUUGUAUCCAAGAAAGAGUUGAUCCAUUGAGAAUCAAGGCUGAUCAGACAAGUUAGAAAGGAAUUUGCUGAGUAUGUGAGGAUUGGAAUUGCUUCAUGCAAUUGAUGUGUUCGAAUCUAAUUUAGAAAAGCCCUAUGACUAGGGUUAAAAGGGACAUAUUCAAAGAGGAAAGAAGUUGAAAUUAUAACAAAGACUAACUUUUUUAUCACUUCUCUAUCAGGUUCCCCAUUAGCUGUUAAGAGCCUCCCCAGGGUACAACAUUUCAAAUGUUUUACAAUUCUCGACAUCAUAUGCUUAUCCUUUGCAUGUGUAAGUCUUGUUUUCAAAACUGAAGGGUGAAAGACCUGCAACAACAUUUGACUGGAAAUUUGAGAAGAUGGCAUAAGAAAAGGUUUGGCUACCAAAAAAAAAAAAGUCAACAAGAAGCAGCCUCUGAAUUUGAGUGGACAAAUACCUGAUGAAGGCAAUAUGCAAGCAAUAAAGAAAUAGAGAUAAUGAGGGAAAUCAAAACUGCUAAGCAAAUUUGUGAAGUUGUGUGGAGAACUUGUGAUAGUUGGAUUAUUAUGAAUGGCAUAACAGAUAUAACCAUGAUCCUUGCUGUAUAGCUAGCCCUGAUAUCAGUACUAGCAGCUGAACCUGAAAAUAGCAAUAAAGGAACAUGCAUUAUGUGCUAGGACAAUAAUCAAGCUAAGCAGCAAUUAACUUGUUAGAGGUAGCCAGAACUAAUAAUAUGCUUUAGCACGUAUACUGAUAUGCACAGAACUAAAAAAAUUUUACCUACUGCAUAACAAACUUCACAUGAAGAAAUACUUAAUUUGGACAGCGAAGAUAAAGAACAAUUAAAUAGUAAUAGCAUUUCAUAAUUCGAAGAUUUGAAUUAAUCCCAGUUGAAAAGUUGCUCCACAAAAUAUUCUUUCACACAUGACACUAACAGAGUCCUAAGAAGUGAAGAGGGGAGGUAAGUACCGACUAAGCUGAAUCCUCUGGCAUUUUUCUCCACAGGUUUUGCCCUCAAAUUUUCAAGAUCACACUUGCCAACUAUGAUGCAGCACCCUCCUAGCAAUGUUAGAAGCAUGGCAGUUGAUCCACCCAGCAAAGCACUCCCAGCUGACACCUGGCUUGAAGCAGUAUCCUUGUUUCCACAUAGUCUGGAUGCUUCAGAAAUGUAAAAGAGCAUUCCGUAAGUGCAUAGAAUGAUUAGAUUACACAUAGGCAUUGGAUCUUCAAGAACACAUCACCUAAACAAUUUCAGUGGAACAAAAAUGAUGAAACUUGACAAUUGGGAGGCUACAGACUAACAAAGGCUCACAACUGGCAUGAAUAACUAUGAAUCAUCUGCACUAGCCCACCCAAUGGCUCAGUAAACUAGAGGGAAAAAAACCAGAUUUAUUUUUGAGUUGAACCCUUGAACUAAUUACAAUUCUUUCUCUCUGGUUGUACAUUUUCAAGUAAACGUAUACAUUUUGUUCCUUUCAUCUGCAUCGAAAUCACUUGAAUUUGCACAUCUCAGCCACUCAUCUUCUCCAUCCAAUCCUCAUUUUGGUCAUUCUUGGCAAUGAAAAUCCUCUGAACUUUUUUCGAGGUUUUCAUCGUUUCCCAUUAGCAUUAUCCUCAAAAAGUUUCAUUCAGGCAUUUCAUCAAGCAGUUUAAACAACUUUCAGUUUCUCUACUCUUUGCUCCUUUUAGUACUUCUCUGUUUUGCAAUCAAACCAUAUCCUUCUAAUUAAGUUGAUACUAUUGUUGAAGUUUUGAUCACUACCUUAUCUACCACAAACAAAAAUACCCUGUUCACCUCCCUUUCUUUCAGUUCAUGCAUUCAAACACAAAAUCUAUAUAAACAAUUAGCCUGCAAGUACAACAGAAUCAUUAUAACAUGCAUGUGAUGCUAAGUGCACAUACCUCCCAAGCUUCAUCUGGUUGAAUUGAACUAAAAAUCAAAUUUAGUUUCCUUAAAACAUCAGAACCACAAAAGCAAAUCCAUUGUCACAAGAGGUUUUCCAAGUUCUCUAGACCUACAAAAGUCUGCAUCUAACACAUGUAGAGUGAAUUUUGUAUGUUGACACUUACACAAGGUUUGUGUAUAUAUAUGUCAUCAGCAUAAUAAUUGACUGGGGAAAAAGAAAGGAAAGUUUUGUUGUAUUUUUCAUAUCAAGGCAAAAAUAUAUAUAUAUAUAUAUAUAUAUAAAUAAAUAGAAACUGUUAGGGUCCCACCUAUUGAUAAUAGUAAUAGUAAUAUAAGGGAUAUCCCCAUACUACAAGCCUCUUUGAUGCAUAUAAAAAAUAUGCUAUGGUUGUUUUUUUUUUUUUUUUUGAUAUUUUUGGAUACUUAUGCCACCAAUUGUCUUUGUGCCACUUGUAUGGUAGAUGUAUGGAAUGUUCUGUAUUUUUUCUUUUCUCCUUGACUACUUUGCAGCUUUAUGUCCAUGGUAUUGGGUCCAGAAAAAUGGCAACUAGUGAAACAAAUAGGAGAAGAAAGAUUAAAAACAUGGCCCCUUUUUUCAUGGUCUUGAAACUAAGAACUUGAAUCAGAGAAGGUGCCCAGAUUGAAUCGAUAAUAUUUUUGGAAUUGCAAAUUCAACAAAUGGGUUGAGAUAUGGAAUGGAUGCAUACAAGUAACUUCUACUUGAUUUGGCUGAAAAUUAAAGUGACCCAUAAUUCUAAAAACAUGAUAGAUUUCAAGAGAGAUCUCAGCUUACAUCAAGCUUACCAAGGAUGAUAAUAGCAUCAGGAAGAGAGCUGAGCAGAGGUAGAAAAACUCCACCAGUAAUCCCAGGACUUAGAAGUUCCACCAGAAUCUCACUUCCAUCAUACAAAAGCCUGGCUGCAAAGAACAUCAAGUAACCAUAAACCAGGAUAAGGAAUACAUUUCCAAACACAGUGGUGGUGCAUGGCAUGACCCCAUGUGUCUGUUUACAGCUAUAUGGUGAAGGCCGGUGCUCAAAAACAACAAAAGCUGGUUGCUGAACCUCUCCACCUCCAUUAGAGACCUGUCCAGAGGAAGAGUAUUUAGGUGCAAUAUAUCGACAAUUCCCAGGGUUCACUUGCAGGAGAAGAAGCAAUUGUAGAAGAAGUAAUGCAUGUUUCUUUCCCAUGUUUGAGCUUGGCUUUGUGACCAGAACCUGAAGGGUCCCAUAUAUAUUGUAACCAUUCUUGUCCUUAUUGUCUUUAAUGGUUUUAUCUUUGAUGCUGGUCGAAAGCUUGUGUCUGGUCGUUGCGCCUUGUAGGCCCACCAGGAACUGAUGAAAUAAUUGGUGCGUGUUGAAUGGGAACUUAGAAAAUGUGAUGGGAAUUAUUUGGCAUGAGAAAAUAUUGUUAAAUAACGUAAAUUACUUUUCCGAAUAAAUACAAAUACGUGGAUGUUGAAGCAAUAUUUAAAAAAUAAAAAAUAAAUAGUGGUUCUUACUUCGUUUUAUUGAAUCAUUUCAAUUGCUUUUCCAAAUAAGAGGUGGAUGCAAUGUUUUGAUAAAAUAAAUAAAUAAAUAAAUAAUGAUUUUUCGUUACCCACACCCAUUUGAAACUCUAAAAUUAAUGUCAAAAAAUUAUUAGUUAAUCCAACAAUCACAGGAUUGUUAAAGAUAAUUUAUGGGAUAAAGAUAAUGUUAAAUGAUACCGAAAAAGUCAAUUCUACAAUUAAUUGAUUAUCAACAUAUUAAGUAUUAUAUGAUGAGCUUGAUUUAGGGUGUUGCACUUUAUUAUUCAUAUUUAAAUCAAUGCCUAUUGAAAAGUAUGAUCAAUCACAACAUGUCAUAUAUAUAAUUUAAUCUCAUGAUUUUAUAUCUCAUUCAUAAGUCAUUAAUUUAUUUGUUUUUAACUUAAUAUGAUAUUUUCCUAUUUGUUUAUACUUGAUCUCAUAUAUUUGUACUUUCAUGAUUAAAAGAUCACUAAGUACUAAUAGCCAAGCAUUUUUCUUCUUAUAUUUACGCGAGUCUUGGUUCAUUUCCACAAUUUAUGAUCAAUCUUCGAUGAUGUAGAAUUCAGGUUAUUUUAACUUGUGAGUCUUUUUCACACAGGAUUUGAAAUAUUAAGAGUAGAACCAUGAUAAUGUAAAUUAGGUAGGAAGCAAUGUGGACUACAACCAAGCCAUAUAAUGUCCAAUACGUUUCUAAAAAUUUUUAUUUUAUGCCCUUACAAGUUUUGUUUUGUUUUAUUUUCAAAGUAACGUGAUGUGUAAGCUUCAAAGUGCUCACGCUCACCUAUCUUAUUCAUAUUAUUAUUAUUAUUGCAAAAUCUUUGAAGAAGUCACUUCUCUUCAUGUUGGAGAAUUGUAGAAGAAGCCAUUGACAACAAAAUCAUGAAUGUUCUUAAGCUACAAAUUAAACUUGACACCAUUGGCACUUUUCUAAUACAAUUUCGCGGCUCCCACACAAAAAUAGUCUUAGGGGAGUGGUCAAUUAUGUGGAUACAAUGAUGAACUCAAGGAAAAUUAUUGAGACAUAUAAGAUCAAAGGUGUAUCAAAUUAAAGCCUUAGUUAUGAUUAGUGAUGUAUAAUCAACUGCAAUAUAUAAUAUUAAUUUAAUUGGAGUCAUAGAACCGAUGGUUACGAUUUGAAAAAUAUUAUAAUUAAUAUAGAGAGACAUGAUGCCAUGGGUGGUCCAAUCCUAUCGGUUAUAUAAAAUAUGAUUUGAUGAAAAGACUAAGAUGAUAUAACAUAAGAAUCUCCUUAAAUAUUUUUCAAUUUUUUAGAUAAAAUUAUAAUUUAUUGAUAGGCUCAAUUUCAAUUGUAAAGUCAAAAACAAAUUACCCAUGAAAAAAAGUGUUUUAAUCAUGACCUUUAAUACUAAUUUGUUAAAAAAGUUGUUCAUCAUAACUUUUAAGACUAAUUUGUGCAUGUGCAUGGCAAUCAAUGCUUAAAAGAAAAGUUGUCUAACCUUUUAUAAGAUUCAUGUGAGUUUGACAAGUGAAGUUGAUGCUUUUUUUUUCUAAUAUCCAUGUAUCUUGAUUAAAAAAAGUUGCUAAAAGAUUAAUGGAGUUGGUUAAGAUAAAAACAAAAAAGAAUAAACAAUUAAAAAUUAACAUAUUUCUUAAUUUACCUUUACUACUUUGUAUUUGUGGAAAAUCUUAUUCAAUAAUUUUUUAAUUCUUAGGCAUCAGAAUGGAUAAUAUUGAAUAACUAAUUUUCCUAAAAGCUUAGAAUUGCCUCAUAUCCAUACAUGAGAAUUUGGAUUCAUAUUCAAUAAAGAAUUACAAAGAGUGAGAUGAAAACAAAUGUGAAAAAUAAACAUACAAAUUACAAAUAGAUGACUUAAACCACAACCUUUUGUCAAAUCAAGUUCUGAUACUACGUUAAAUAACCAAUUUUCCUAAAAGUUUAAUCUUAUAGGAUUUAAAUUCAAUAUGCAUAUUAUGCCUCCUUAUCAAAUAAUAUAUAUUUUUUAAAAAUUAGCGGUAUGUGAUAUGACGUACAUAAAUUUCAAUGGAAGUUAUUAAGAAAAUGCAAUGAAACAUCAAAUACAAACAGGUGUAGAGCUUCAUAUAUAGUCAUCAACUGAAAAAAGAACUGAAAAUAUGGGUGUACCCUUGAUGCUCUUUUUGCUGUCUUUGAACUGAAAAUGUGUCUAUGACCAUCCCAAAUAAUUGUCAAGAACAUACACCAACACCAAGGAUAAUGGGUAAAGCAGGAAGGCCAUCAAGCUUGUCCAAAGAGGGAAAGUUGUACGGGUACCAGCAAAGACUCCCAUCAGUAUGCAUACUAUCAGAAUAAUCAGCACCUCAGAUGCGAAGUCCCAUGUCAACUGGCGAAAGUAGAUGAGACCCAAGAAGACAGACAAGCUAAGGAUGUUGCCCAUUGUCACUGACCCAUAAAUCUGCAGAAAGAAACUCAAUGGUUAUGGAGUAGGCCAUUAUUACGCCUAAUUUUAAGGUUGAGAAGAGGAGAAGCAUACCUCAGAAAAUGUUAAAGAAGCAGUCCUCAACUUCUUUCUGCUGGCAAAGAUCAUGGCUGAUACUGCUUCACUGGAGCUAGCAAAAGGAAGAACAACAAAUGAGACAAAGAAAGAAGGGAUGCUUGUAGCAGUGGAGAAGUUGUCAACAGCAUCAACAAGGGGAUCGGCAAAUAUAGCAGCAACAACUGUGCCCAAAAGCAACAUGGCUACUGCUUUAGAGGCAUUCCACUUGGGAUUUUUAAUGCUCUCCACUUCCUCCUCUUCAUUCUGAUCCUCCAACUUAUCCUGCUCCUCUCUUGUUCGCUGCAUAUGCAUUUUAAGGAUGUCAUAGUACUAAGUUACAAACAUUCGGGACUGGAUAAAGAAAAACUUGACCCUUGACCAUGACAUACCAGAUUGAAGUCAUUUAUAUAUCUUGUUGACAGGGAAUUACUGCCAUCACUGCCAGCAUGAAUUGCUGAACGCUUAGCCUUAGUAAGCCAUCUUGACAUUCCUCUGACAAACUCAUUCAUAUCAAUUUGGGAAUCCCCCGUUGUAUCAAAAUCUUUCAUUACACUUUUCACAGUUUCAUCAAUAUCCAAAUCCGCUGCAUCAAACUGGAUCCCUAUUAUCAGGGCUCUUAUAUCAGUAACAGAGAGGUACCCAUUCGAAUUUACAUCAAUUGUCUCAAAUAACCUGCCAUCAUAUCCAUGAAUUAAAGGGUAUAUUGAGAGAAUCAAGGUUGAUUAAUUUUCAAGUUUCCAGUCAUGAUUUUGUCAAGUAUUUGUGCUUCCCUUCAGGCCUGAGUAGUUUGUUAAUAAGAUCUCAUUCAGUUAAUUUAUGUGCAGAUUCCCAUAGUGCCUAAUUCAGUGAAGUGACCAAGAGACAGAUUCAACUCAAAGUGCAACAAAGACUGACUUUUUUAUGGCUUCUGUAUUAGGUUCACCGUUAUUAGUGAAGAGCCUUCCCAGGAUAUGGGACUUCAAAUGUUUUAAAAUUCCCGACAUUAGAUGUUUAUGCUUUGCAUAUGCAAGUCUUCUCUUCUGAAUCCUAGGCUGAAAGACCUGCAAUGGUGUUGAUUGGAAAAACGCAAAGAAGCUCAGACAACAAAGGAUUUGGUUACUGAAAAAAUAGACAUCUUUCAACAAGAAGCAACAAGGGAAUGUAUAUAAAUCCAAGUAGAUGAACAUAUACCUGAUAAAGGCAAUAUGAAAGCAAUAAAGAAAGAGAGACAAUGAGUGAAAUCAAGACUGUUAAUCGAGCUUGCGAAGUUGUAUGGAGAACUUGUGAUAUUUGGACUAUAAUGAAUGGAAUAACAGAUAUAACCAUGAUCCGAGCCGCAUAGCUGGCCCAGAUAUCAGUACUAACGCCUGAACCUGAAAAGACCAGAAAACACACACACACACACACAUUAUGUACCAGGAUCAUUAUCAGAAAAUUUUGUAUUAACCCCUGUAAUUCUGAAGUCUUGUUUAAUUACUCUUUCAAUUGAAAAGUUCAUCCAGUAAAUAGUCCAUGACUGAUCAAUAAAUGACCAAAUGCAGAGGUUUAUAAAUAAAUGAAGUUGAGGGAAUUACCAGUUAAGCUGAAUCCUCUGGUGUCUUUCAAAUCAGUAGCCACUGAAUUUUCAAUGUCACACUUGCCAACUAUGAUGCAAGAUCCCCAUAGUAUUGUCAGAAGCAUAACAGUUGAUCCAGCUAGCAAGCCCAUACCAAUUGAGACCUGACUUUGAGCUGUUUCUUUGCUUCCAGAUAGCCCAGAUGCUUCAGAAACACAAAAGUUUCACAACAAAAAAGUCAAUAGAAGUAUGAUUAAUUAGACUACAUAAUGAUAGUCAUCAACUGUGUGCAAACACGUUGUUGAAUUUAUUGAAUAGUAUGAAGAAAGUCUAUGAAAAUUAACAAUUGGCAAUAACAAUUGUGAAUUAACCGAAAAACUUGGACUUGGGGUAGCAGCUAUUUUGGAUCUGUUUUUGUUUUAGUUCCAGUUAAGUUUGCCCUCAGAUGGAUCAUUGAGGCUUUCAUCAAUAUCCACACUAUUUCAUGCCAUUUGGCCAUUUGUAAACAACUGAUUUUUUCCUACUAAUACUAUUAGCUUUAUUUGGUUGCAUAGAAUUGGAAUCCAAUUCCCCUGAACCCCACAAUCCAAAAAUAAACAACUGAAUAAAAGAAAAUAGAAGGAAAACCCAUGGUAAAAACAAGGAUUUGAAUUCCAAAUUGUCCAAAUCUGCAGAACCAAGAACAACCCAAAUCUUCCAAAAAUCUAGGAGAUGUGUAGCCCUUAAUCCUAGCUGAUAUCAUUGUAGGCAACUUGAAUCAGUUUUGGAAAAAAAAAUUCAUCUAUCACAUGUGACCAGUCCAUUUUGUGCAUUAAGACUUACAGAGGGUAGAUAUUUAUAUAGUAAGAAAUCUAAUAUUCCCAUUGUAUGUAUUUGCUUACUAUAAUAAUUGCACCCAUCGGAAAUCUCGGAUCUGAUAAUGGAGUUAGUAAGGUUGAACUUUCUUUGUUGGCAAUAAUAAUAAAAGAGAUAAGCACAUGUCCAUGGAAUACUUUUCAUACAUAUGUUUUUCUUGACAACUUGGAACUUAUGUCAAUGGUAUUAGGUAUAGAAAAGUUGCAGAAAGAGAGCAAGUGGGAUUAAUAUAUAUUAAUCUUGGGCCCUCUUGCCAUGGUUCCAAAAAUCAGAACUCAAGUUAGACAAGGUACCCAAAUUGAAUUGAGAAAAAACAAUGUUUACAAUUCAACCUAUUGGUCAAGAACACAGACCAGAAUGAAGAGAAAAGCAAAUGAGAUCAGUUUUAUCAAUUUGGGUGGGAAAAGUGAAUGAUGGAUCAAAACGGUAUGAUGGAUUUCAAGCUUACCAAGGAUGAUAACAGCAUCAGGAAAAGCACUGAGCACAGGCAGGAAAAGCCCACCAAUAAUUCCAGGACCAAGAAUUCCCAGCAGAAUCUCACUUCCAUCAGACAAAAACUUGGCUGCAAUAAACAUCAAGUAACCAUACACAAGGAUUAGGAAGAUGUUUCCCAGCACAGUGGUCGUGCAUGGCAGGAAUCCAUAUGUCUGGUCACAGCUAUCUGAUGAAGCCCAAUUCUUAAAAACAAUAAAUGCUGAUUGCUGAACCUCUCCAACUCCAUCAGAGACCAGACCAUAGGCAGAGUUAUCUGCGACCCCCUGACCCUUUCCGCCAUUGAUCAGCAUCAUGAGAAAGAGAAAGGCUAGAAGAAAGAGAGCAUGCUUCUUUGCCAUGGCUGAGCUUGGCUUUGUGAUCAGAAGCUAAUAUGUUAGGUGUCUUCUGGUUCUUUUCCACAUUGCCUUAAAACAUGCCUCAUACUUGGAGAACUUGUAGGUGAGGAAGAACAGGUGGUAUUGGGAAAUUUAAAAUGGGAGGCUUGAGUCAAGUCAAUGGAAGAGGUUUUACAGAUAUGGGGAAAAAAAAAAUCAAUAGAGAAGAACAAAAAAUCCUAGGUAUGGUAUCACAUCAUGGGAUUUUUAUAAGAGUACAGCAGUUUCAAAAAAUAAUUUCUAAAUUAUCGUAGUAGAAAAAAUAAUUCCAAAUCUACCAUAGUUUUGUCCAAAUAGGAAAGAGAAAAUAACUUGUAAGUGAAAAAUCGUCUCCGAUUUUCAAAAAAUAAAAAAUAAAAAUAAAACAAAGUGAGAAAUUGUCUCUUAAAGAGACGAUUUCCACACAAAAGUGAAAAAUGGGAAAUCGUCUCUUCAAAAGACGAUUUCCAUGUGAGAAAUUCUCACUUCAAAAAAAAAAAAAAAUCUUCAAAAAUCCAUUUUUUCAUUCUUUAUUUUAUUUAUACAAUAAUACAAUUAUUGUAAAUAUAUAUUAUGAAAUUAAUUAAUUUUAUUUACUAAAUUUAAUAUAUAAAUAAUAUACUAAAUUUAAUAUAAGAUAAAUAAUUUAUUAUUUUUUUCUCUUACUUUGGAAUUAAAAAAAAAUUAUUAUCAAUUAUGUGAAAAAUGAGUUUUAAAAACAAUUGUUAUUAAUUUAUUAAAUAAUUAUUUAGUAUAUUAUUUAAAGAAACCCAAGUAGAAACCGUUUCUUCAAGAGACGAUUUUCACACCACCUUUAAAAGCGAGAAAUUCUCACUUUAAACAAAAAAAAAAAAAAAACCCUUCAAAAAUCCAUUUUUUCUUCUUACUAAAUAACAUACUAAAUUUACUAUGGUUUUUUUUUUUUUUGAAGUGAGAAAUUCUCACUUUAAAAGGUGGUGUGGAAUCGUCUCUUCAAGAGACGAUUCCCACUUGGGAUUUUUUUAAAUAAUAUACUAAAUAAUUAUUUAAUAAAUUAAUAACAAUUGUUUUUAAAAUUCAUUUUUCACAUAAAUUAAUAAUAGUUUUUUUUUUAAUUCCAAAGUAAGAGAAAAAAUAAUAGAUUAUUUAUCUUAUAUUAAAUUUAGUAAAUAAAAUUAUAAUAUAUAUUUAUAAUAAUUGUAUUAUUGUAUAAAUAGAAUAAAGAAUGAAAAAUGGAUUUUUGAAGGCUUUUUUUUUUUUUUUUUUGAAGUGAGAAUUUAUCACAUAUAUAUUCUUGAAGAGACAAUUUUUCACUUGCAAUUUAUUUUUUCUUUCCUAUUUGGACAAAACUACUGUAAAUUUGGAAUUAUUUUUCCUAUUACGAUAAUUUAGAAAUUAUUUUUUAAAACUACCGUACUCUUAUAAAAAAAUCCUCACAUCAUGGUGAAUGAGUUAAUUACAUACCAAUGUAUCAUACCAUAUCAAAUCUAUAGUACCAUUUGUCAUAUUGUUGUUUAGCCCAGAUUUCAUGUGCCUUUUUUGUUAUUCUUUUAUUUUUAUAAAAUUAUAUGUUCAUGAAAUAAUGACUAAGAAAUAGAGAGGGGGUGUUUUCAAAUUUAGGGCAUUGUUUAGCUGUACUGAAAUAAAUUUGAUACUAUCUAUUUAAAACUCAAAGUCAAUUAGUAACUAGUACAAUAUCAAUUAGGAGCGAUUUCAUGUAAUUCUAAGUUGUUAAUUAACAUAUGUGUGAUUUUAUUUUUUUUAGAAGCAUGACAUUGUUGAGCUUUAGUCGAGGUAAACUUGAUAUCAGAUUUUGAUUAAGAUUAAUCGUGUUUAUAUCACGUUAACCCCCUUUGUAGGGACCUCUCCCCCUGGGAAACACGUGGCACGCAGCUCAUGGUGACGCGUGGCACGUGUUAUCAGCCGAACCAUCAUCAUCCGGAUUCCCCUAAGGAUAUGCAUGGUGCAGUUAUCCUAUCCGGACCGCCUCAAGGAAAGGCAAACGACGUUUCAGCUUCUCCUAUCCAAGGAAGAGCAAACGACGCUGGCAGAGCGUAGACAUCCGGAUAGUCCCCACAACACAUCCGGAUAAUCAGCAUGAGCCAUCCGGAUAUAAAUCGUCUGGAUGGUCAAUUAAAGUAGCGUAGACAUCCGGAUAGUCCCCACAACACAUCCGGAUAAUCAGCAUGAGCCAUCCGGAUAUAAAUCGUCUGGGUGGUCAAUUAAAGUAAAGUGAGUCUUACACGCAAUCACAACAAGCAGCCAUGGCCCACAUCUUGUCACCUGCAGAGUGAAAAGACAAGAUGAAGUGAUAGCAAGUCACUUCCCACGAUCAUUCUACAUGAUCACCUUCCCACAAUCUCUGACAGCCGCAUCACCUACCAUAGUUUCUGACAGUCGUUCGUAGGGUGAUAAUGCUCCUACUAACACCUAUUGUCAUCAUCACAACAUAAAAUAUCUCCUCACCAUUAAUGAGAGGAACAGUACCCCUGAAGCUGUAUAUAUAUGCCUUCGCACGAAGAAAAAAGGGAUCCCCCUGGUAACCUCUUGAUACCUAGUAAAAGGCCAACUAAUUUAUACAUCUCUCUCUCACCAUGGCUAACAAAACCAUCGGAGGGUGCGUCCGGACACCUUGUCCGGAUGCCUUUUGCAGGUGCAACCGCUGAAUCAAGAACCCCUUGUGUGUUGAGAAUCACGUGUCCAUCCAUAUAGUAGCAACGUGGACCACCGGAUACGCGAGGCGACAACACCCUUAACCUAUUCUUGAUUGAAUCCUUUUAAUUCAGACACAACUCACGGAUUUAAUUCAUCGUGUCUGUUUUAACAUAAUUAUAACUCAACCAAUAAUAUAGUAGUACUAUGAUUCAACCCAUAUAUCACCCACUUAUUCUUAUAUAUGGUAAUAAAUUUUAAGAUUAGAAAUAAGGUUGUUAUUAAUAAGUUAUAUUAAUUUUAUUAUUUUUUAGAAACCAUUUAAAAAAAAUAAAUUAUUUUACAAUUUAUCCAAAUUUAGAGUUUGAAUGAGUUGCAUGAGUCAAAAUCAUAUUAAUUGUAUCAUACUUAUAUUUGGAUUAUUAGUUUUGUAUCAAGCUAAUAUAGUUUAAUUUAACUUUGUCAAAUAAUUUGUCCUAUCAUAUUACCUAUGUAAUAAAUAAUUCAUAUUUGUGUUAAAAAAAACUAAUAUUAUUAUUAACUGAAUUAAUUAAAAAAAACCUUUAAUAUGAUAUAAAAUUUGCAACAUGACUUAGAGUUUGUUUAAUAGUAUUUUAAAAAAAUAUUUUAACAUAAAAAAUAAACUAUUUUUGGAGAAAAAUCAUAUAGUUUUCAAAAAUUAAAAAUAUUUUUUAAAAAAUUAAAAAAAUCACUUGUAAUAUUUUAUAGAUGAUGCACCCAAAAGCACUUCUAAAUAAGGCAUUUUAACUAAAAACACCUCAGAUAUAAAUGUUUUCAAAGACACCCUUAAUUACCAUUCUUCGUAAUAAUGCCAAGUUUUGUAAGAAGGCAUGAAUUUAAAUAUUUCUUCUUAUUUAUUUAUUUUCCUAUUUAUUAAUGAAACUUACAUGUGAGCCAAAAAUAAAGGGCACAUGGGAUAGUGUUUUACUAUAUAACUCUGAUACAAAUAAUAAUAAUUGUGUCAAAAAUAUAAACUUAAAUACUACUUAAUUAUUAAACAUAUAACACAUCGUAUAUCUUAUUUAACCCAUUUAAUAAUCAAGUUAUUCUAUUUAAUAAUUAGGUUGGGUUAGGUCUUAUAAAUGUCUACAUGAUUAAUGCCUCAACUAAAUAUGUUUAUGAUUUAUUAGACUUAUUUAUUUAAAAAAAAUCAAAUAUAGGUGAAAUAAUUUAAAAAUAUAAUUAAGUUAAUAAUAAAAUUAUUAGACGGAUCAAUUCUCGUAAUAUGGAGGUUGAUCUAAAAAUUACUUAUUUAUUAAAGGAGUGAUGUAAAUUAAUUUGAAUUUGAUUUAAACUCAUUUAUAUUCAAUUUAAAUUCACGAAAAACAUUGAUGUUAAGCUUUGUGACCCCUAAUCAAUAGAUUAAGGAGGAAAAUUAAUACCAAUAAAUGACAUAACAAAAUAAAAAUAAUAGGAAGUUAGAUAUGGUAGAUGGUACAAUGAAAGUGGAAAUUGGAAACAAAAAUUGUAAAUUGACUAUCUUGACCCUCCUACAAAAAAAGUAGAGAUACUAGAAAUAGGAAGGCGAAUCGCUGGUAAGCUCUUGCUCACUUCCUUUGAUGGUGAAUUUCAGAGUGGGGAAACCAACGGUAAAACCAUCACGCCAAUCACCAUGUCCUCUCCUUCCGAUUCUCAGGGUCCGGAUGAGGCUCUCAUCACCCAAAACCCUAGCAUGCCCACUGAACAACAUCCACAAUCUCAAGCUCAAACUCUCUCCCUUAAAACCCUAACCCUAGAAAUCGCCGAUCCCCAAAACCCUGAACCAAGUGAACAGUCACACCCUCAACACCAGCAAAUCUCUAUCGAAGAUGAUCAAGAUGACCCAGAAGGUACGUCUCCUUCUUCUUCAUCAAUUUCCGUUUCACACAUCACCAUCACCAUCCCCGACUCAUCUGCCCCUCAAAAUCCUCCUCUCACCACGCCCACCAAUGCUCGCCGUUCACUCAAGCGCAAGAAGGGAGCUCAGUACAAGCGACGUACUGCUCUUGAAAAAUUUCAGCAGCAGAAACUUGGUGCACUUAUUAAAACCCUAAAUCCGAUCCCCUUUGUGCCUAAUAAAACCCUAGAUUUUUCCAAGCAUGAGUCGCUGCUUAAUCGUCUUGGGUUGUGGGAAUUUGUUCAUAUUGAGUUUGAUCAGACCAUUCGCACAGAUCUUCUUGCGCAGUUGAUUGCAAAUUAUACGCAGAGUGCGAGAGGCAGUGUUGUUAAUGGGGCUAAGAUUAAGGUCAAUAGGGCUGAUCUUGCUCGGGCGAUGAAGUUGCCGGUGAAGAAGGAGAAGGUCAGUGCAUCGUCGGAGGGUGUCUUGGAGGCUCCGGCGGCAGAGGAGGCGAUUGGAUUUAUUGAGGAUUUGGUCUCAAAUUGGGUGCUUUUACACGAGGAUACGUGGAUGAUGCCAACGGAGGUUUUGACUUGGACGCGGGUGAUUAAGGAGGGGCACCCGGAGAAGGUAGAUUGGGCGGGGUUGAUAUGGUUUAUGGUGGAGAAGGAGUUGCAUGCAGAAGAAUUGGUGAAUUGUUACUAUGCUUCACAUUUGCAGUGUUUGAUAAGAGCACAAAAGGAGGAGCUUUUGAGGGCAGAGGCUAAGGAUGAGGUUGAAGUGAAGGAGGAAGAGGAUGGUGGUGAUGUGGAGAUGGGUGAGGAGGGUGAUUUUCCAGAUCGUGAAGCAGAUGAUGAUGAUGUGAAGAUGGAUGAAGAUGUGAAGUUGGAUGAAGAGGUGAAGAUGGAUGAAAAUGUGAAAAUGGAUGAAGAUGUGAAGAUGGAUAAAGAUGUGAAGGUGGAUGAGUAUGUGAAGGUGGGUGAGGAUGUGAAGGUGGAUGAAGAUGUGAAGGUGGAUGAAGAUGUGAAGGUGGAUGAGGAUGUGAAGGUGGAUGAAGAUGUGAAGGUGGAUGAAGAUUUGAAGGUGGAUGAAGAUUUGAAGACUGUGGGCUUGGAUGAUAUUCAAGGACAUGAAUUGGAGGAACAUAAUAUUCAAUUACGUUUGGGUCAAGAUGGCGUUGGGAAGGAAAAGGUAAAGGAUGAGGACAAUAUGGAUUUUGAUGAGUGCAAGGAGCAAGAACCUGGGCAGUGGUUCUUGGACGGGAAGAAUGAUGAUAAUGAACCAUACUUGCGUCCUUGUACUCUUGAUGACCUUAAGGGUUCAGUUUGUGAUGAGGAAAGGAAACAAGAAGAAGAUGAAGAAGAAGAAGGAGAAGAGGAAGAAGAGCAGGAUCGUGGUUUUAAUCUUUCACCAAAAUGUGGCAAUUUAGCUGGUCUAUCCUCGGAGAACCUUAUUCACGCAAUGGAAGCAUCACAAGUUCCUUUUAAUUCAUCAGUGCAGCUUCGUGAUCAUUCUUCCAUGGAGCUUCUCUCAUCAAGGGCUGAAGCAAAUAUGAUUCCAGGGGGUCCAUCCAUUUUCAGUAACUCUAGCAAGAGAGAUAUCAGCCAUGAACAUGAUAUUUCUCAUCAAUCUCUAAAUAGUAGUCAUAAGAGGUUGAGGAGUGACUUUGACAUGUGUAUGGAGCAAAUAGAGCAUUGGAUGGGAAAGGCCAAGAUGCUUCAUCAGGCAAAAGAACAAGCUUAUGCUGAAUCAAGUAUGAAUCAGCAAUUCUUAAUUGGUGAGCUGCAACAGCGAGACAACCUGAUUGAACUUUUGCAGAAAGCCAAGUUUGAGGAGUUUCAGAAAAGAGAAGUGGAAACAUACCGGCGGGAUCGUGAACUUUUUGUGAUGGGAAAUCUCUUAGAGAGCUAUAGGAAGGCUUUAAGAGAAACACAGCGGGCAUUUUCUGAAUAUAGAGCACACUGUCCACUUCCUGAUGAGCCACUUUACAAUGAUGUUGGUGAGACAGGGGGUGUUGUUCUGAGCACCAUGGAAUUGGAAAAACAACGUCGGAGGCAGGAAGAAGAAUAUAGGAUGAACUGUUUGCUGGUGGAACAAAAGAUUAAGGACUUUGAGGUUGUGUGGUUCAACAAAUUAGAAUUGCAUCUGAAUGUGGUUCAUAUGCUUGAUAGCAGGUUGAUGGAUGCUGAGAAGCAUGUAAAACUUCUCAAGGAAUCAUAUGCUAAACGGAAGGUUUCAGAAACAUCAGAACCUGCUCCAAAAGAAUGAUAAAUCGUCUAAAAGGUUUUUCCGUUUGGAAGUUAUCAAAAUGUCAGUGAAGGACAAAUCAUAAUUGUAAGUCCUCUUUAGAUUUUGGUGUAGCUUUUUGUAUCCUUAUAUAAUACAUGUGAUGCUGCAUUCAAAAUAUUGCUGAACUACAGACCAAUACGUAACUGUACUACUAACUGGAAAUUUGCUUUAUGGUCUCUGCUGAUCUUUUGUCUUUUAUCAGUCAUAUUUUUUUUCCUGGGCCAUAUUAUCAUAUACAUUUGAAACUGAAACCCAAGUGUGCCUUGGCCUCCUCUGUAUGUCUGUGGAUUAUGGUCAAUUUGUGGAUUCUAUUCGGAGUCCAUUUGGUCAUUGAUUGAUUGGAAUAUUAUGGAGAGCAAAUAUCUUUCAACUCUAUAUUCAGUUCUCUAAAAGCUAAUCCAAGUGUAUAGUACAGAUUCAGAUGGUGCAGGAAAUGGAUAUGCCAACAUGGAAAAUUCUGGAGAAGUACAUGGACAUGAGAGGGCACUAUCCACAAUGUUUUAAUAUAUAUACAUUUGCAUAAGUUAGGCUUGAAUUUCUUUUCCUUUGUUUUGAUCAUGUUUGUAAUUAGGGAAGCAUUACUCAUCCUUCUCUUGUUUAUUCCUUUUUAAUGGAAAUGUUUUUAUCUUUGAUCCAACAAAUAAAAAAUGAAAAAUCUUUGCAAAAGUUUGGUUAAGUUUGUUAAAGUUUUUUUAUGAUUUUUCUUUGAAACUAUAUUUUUUUUAUAUGCAAAGAAAAGAUUAAUUCUAUUAAAAGCGCUUAGCCAAAGAGUACACAAAAGUAUGCACAAUGUAUACAAAGAUGCUUAAAAGCUAAACAAAGCAAAGAGAGACACAAAAAACAAUAUUUUCUCCAUACUUAGAGCUCAAUCAACCAAUGAAGUCCAGUAUGGACAUUGAGUAAUAACCUAUAUAAACUCCUAUGCACCCCAAGAAAUUAUACAUAAAGAUUGUUUGUUGCUUGAUCCCCAUUUUCAAUAUUUUCAAAAGCUGUCCAAUUUCUCUCAUUCCAUAUUGUCCAAAAUAAGCACAAAGAAGUUGAUGUCUAAGCUUUCUUCCUCCUUUUUUCUGAUAAAGGAUACAAGCAACCCAAAAGGACACUUCUAACUAAGGAUUGCAUCACCCGCUUUAUACCAAAAAGGGCAUAAAUGAGUUCCUGCAAAAUGACUGCCUUUGAAACUAUACUCCUUUUUCUUAAGUGGAAUGUUGUUUCAUUUGCUAGCAUUCAACAAGGCUUCUGUUGUCCAAACCUUUGAAGCUCCUAAAGUCCUAAUAGCAAGGAAAAUGAUAAAACAUUUAUUUGAAUGUUAUGUAGAUUUCAGACUUUUGAACCCCCUAAAGUCCCUAAUAGUGAGUUCUUGUGCCAUUUGCUAUUUGGCUCUAGGUUCAUGCUGAGCAUUUUCUAACUUUUAAUAAUUGUUUUCCUUUCUUAUUCUGUAUUGAUGUUUUUCAUUUCAUCCAAUUCAGCCACAAUAGUAAAAAACUUAAAAUACAUUAUAGAAUCAUAUGAUCUCCUUGUGGACUUAAGGUGUGCCCCCUUUUUCUAGACACCUUCAAUUUGAAUUGUGGUGUGGCUAUCCAAAAAAAAAAAAUUAUAUAUACAUAGAUAAAUAGAUAGAUAGAUAGGUAUCAAACAAAGACAUUGAUCCUUUACUUAUGUACAUGCUAACCCAAGCUGAAAAAUUACAAAGGAAUGUAAGUUUUAUUUUUUGAUCAGUUUGCCCCUUAUUUUCAAAAGCUUUUUAAUUUCAUCCCUGCCAAAUUGUCCAAAAUAUGCAAAGGGGGGUGGUUUUCCACACAUUUUUCCUUUCCUUCCCUACAAAGAAACCAUGCCAACUAAACAAGAUAUCUUUCACCAAAGAAGGGAUCGUCCAAACUACAUCGAAUAAGGAGAACAAGAGAUGUCAUAGAAUCCUUGCUUUAGUGCAAUGAAGUAGAAUAUGGUCAAUAGACUCCCCCUCAAGUUUGCAAAGAAAUCAUCUAUUUGCUAUCAGUCGCCGUCUUUUGGAGAUUAUCUAAAGCCAACUUUUCCCCCAAUUGGCUUCCCCCCCAAAAAAAAGCUUACUUUGGAUGGGACCCAUGAAUUCCAGAUAAUGUUUGUUGGAAAGUGGAUUACCUUCCUCAUUUCCUAGACUGAAUAGAAAGGUUUGAUUGAAAUAGACCCUUUUUAGCAUCCUUCUAGAUCACCUUGUUAUUAUCUUCCCUUCUAAACGUCUUCAUUAGCAAGUGGCAGUGUGGAGAAAAAGGUCUCAACAAUGUCCAACUUGUAAUCAUUAAAGUGCUUGGUGAAACACAUAAUCCAAUGACCCCCCGCUCCUAAGUCUUCACAUAAAUUUGUUGCCCAGGCCUCCUUUGACAAACCUAACAUGGGCGCACGCACAUAUGCAUAGAUAUAGCGUACACACUCACUCACACACACACAUUAUAGAGAGCCCUUUCAUUUUGAAUUAAAGAAUUAAGAAUGAAUCAAAUCUCCCCAAGUAGGUUUGGAACCUACGACCAAUCUGUUAAUAGUUGACUACUCUGCCACUGAGCUACUGAGGAACAAAGAAAAGAUUAUAGGAAGUACUAGUUUUAGAAUCUAAUUGAACCAAAAGGGUGUGGCGUUUGGGUGUUUGCUCUUUCGAAGGAAAGAGAUUGCAACUGAGGUGGCCUUGAAGUUGGUUGUUUCUGAGAAAGGGCUUGUACAAAAGAUUUUGGGUGAGACUGGUUGGACUGUCAUUGCCCUUGUGGGGUAAGGACUUCUUCAAGAGAGUGGGUGAUACUUGUGGAGCUUUUGCAGCUAUGGAUGUGGAUAGCCAAGAGAUGCCAUUUACAAUGGACUAGAAUUCUAGUAAGCUCCAACAGGAGGGUCCCUAGUCCCUAUGAUCUUGCAUGUGGUGGUAGGGUUUUUAGUCUUCGUUGUUCAGUUAUGGUGGGAGAUCCCACCAUGGGAGUUGGUGUUUGUUUCGAAGGAGGGUUGUAGGGUAAUGGAGGUCAAGGAUGACAACGAGGGCAUAGUUUUAAAAGGUGUGCUUUAAGUGCACCUAGGCUCAAGGCACGACCACUCCCUAGUUAUAAUGCCUCUCUUGCCAAGACAUGUGCCUUAUUGAAGAGGCAUGCCUUAUCAACUUUGCUAUUCCUUUUUAAAUGCUAGUCUAGAAAUUUCUAGUUGUGUAUUGAAACUUAUAUAAUUUCAUUUUUUAUUUAUUAAAUGCUUCUUUUAAAUGUUUGGAAUCUUAAAUUUUUUAUUGAUUAGAUUAGAUUUGAAUCAUAUUUUAUAAGAUUGAUAUGCAUCCCAGGUCGCAUUUCACUUCACUUAGACACACACCUUGUGUUGCACCUUGUUCCUAAGCCAUAAGAGACUUUUGCGCCUUAGGUGCACCUUGCGCCUUUUAAAACUAUGGGUGAGGGAAGGGCACACACAGAGUGAAGUGGAGUUAGAGGUUGGGAAGCGUGCAAAAAGUUUGGGGCAGUCUAAGGUGCUUUUGCGUGCAACCCAAGUUGCUUUUACAUGUUGCCCAAGUUUCAGAUGGCGCAAUUUUUUCUAUCUACACUAGAGCUUUGGAGGCUAGUGGAUAGGUUCGGAGGAUAGUCUCUAAGCCUCCUUGUUUGGCUUGAGUUGGGCUGGUAGGCCAAGCAGGUUCAAGGCCUCUUUCUCCUAUAGCUUGAGUUGGAAGGCCUUGAGUGCUUUAGGCCUUGCUCUUUGUCUAUUGACCUAGACCAACCUGUGUACUUAUGUUGUGCUUCCUUUUGUUGAGUACUUGUUAAGCUCCUGUUAGAUUCAAUUAUUGUUUGCCUAUAAAAUGCAGCACAGAAUAUAGAGGAGAACAUGCAUAUUUUGACCCUUUUUUUGUGUAUUUUGAGAAAAUUAAUUUUAUAUUUCAUUUUUAUUUGAAGGAUUCUUUUACUACAAUGUGGGGAGAUGUUAUUACAUGGUUAAAAAAAGUGUUUAAAUUUUGUUUCUUUCUUCUGCCUCCCCUGAUAAAAAUCUUCCAUGGCAUGAUAUUUAUUUGUGAUCUCUGCAUUGAGGAAAGUUUGACCAUCACAUCUUUUCUUCCUUAUAUUUGUCAGUUCAUGGAGAAUUCUCUGUUGAAAAGUUGGAAAUUGGGAACAAGUUGUAGCAACACAUUGAGCAUGAUGUAACACACAAUGACAACUAUAACCUGAUGUCCUCAUAUUUGCUAUACCUUUGGGUGCAUUGUUUCUUACCAUCCAAUAUGCUGUAGUAGAAAGUGUUGACUGGCUAGCAUUUUGUUUCUUACUAUCCCGUAUGUUCAUGUUUGAACAAAAGUUAUUUGUUGGAGCCUGGUGUUGGUUUUACUAAUUUAUAUGUUAAUUUUAUGAAAAUUGAACAAUAAUAUAACUUCCAUUAAUAACCUCAUGUGAGUGUUAUUAUUACCUUCCAUUUCUUGCUUGGACUGGUGAAUUAUGAAAUAAGUGAUAAAAACCAAAAUAGUUUUUGUUUGUUGUGUUUUGUUUAAUCUACUGGAACAAUUUCCAGUUAUCUACAUAGUGGGGCCAAACUAGCUGUGGCUGAGUGUUUUUUGCAGGCUAAUAAUGGGUGAGACCCAGGAUAGACUCUGAGAGCACAAGCCCUUGAGGUAGAUUAGUGUGGUGGUCAAUAAAAGCUGUUAUGCAAUGUUGCUCUUAUGUUUAAACAAAACAAAUUCCAACCCCAUUUUCCCCUCCACCUCUCCCUCCCCUUGCAAAACUCAAUUAGGGAUCUCAGACUCUGUUCCUGUCACCAGUUCAAUCUGGGGUUUUAGCUUAUGCUGGAAUCUACUCAACAUUCAUUAUACUUGGAUUAUAUUUAUGCUAUAUAUAACCUUUAUUGUGGCCUGACCUGCUCUGUAAUUUAGUACUUGUGGGGCAAGAAAGGACUUUGAAUUUCUUUGAAUUUUUAUGAUGUUGGACAACCUAACUCUUCAUAGUUAUCUUAUGAGCAUGUGCCACUGGAGGAAAUUGGUAUUUGUUUAAGGACCUAGACAAUUUUGCAUAUGUCGAGCUACUCUUUGUUUAUAAGAUUUACCAUGAUGUAGCAUGUCAUCUGGGUCUUUGGAGAGUGUUUGAUCACUAUAUUAUGCCAUCAUGUGCCAGUGAUUUCAUUUUAGAAUAUUGUUCCCUCAAAGAGUUUUUCCUUCCAUCAUGCAGGUUAGCAUUAGUAUUUUAUGAAUCAGCCAUUCACCCCUUCUGUGCUGCCAAGCUUUCAAGUUAAUGGCCUUUUCGGCCUGCUGACCUCGCAGGGUUUUGGAGUGGUUGAUGAUAAUCAUGUCACAGCAAUUUGUGUUCCGAAUGGAAGAUGGAUGAGCAUACUUGCCACUCAGUUGAUCAUUGCUACUAGCAGAUUAAAUAUGUUGUAUAGACCUUGAAGUAGAAUUCUGUCUAGGAUGACCGACUUUAAUCUUAAAAAGGUUAUUUCUUAUAUAUUUUGUAUGUGCUUCUUCACCCUGCAGCAAUAUUUGUCUCCUUUUUUCCUCCAUUUCUAUCCUUAAAACGCAAGAAACAAGUUGUUUAAUGGUGGAGGUCCAAUAAAAAAAUAAAAAAAUAAAAUCAAUUUUAAUAUUAAAACAUCUGGCAUGAGCAAGAAAGAAAGAAUCAUACAUAAACUGAUAAAGAAUUUCAAAACUCAUCCCCUAGAUGUUCUUGGGAUCCAUAACAAAUACAGUUGGCUGUCAAAAUUCUUACUUUCUUUUUCCCACACCUCGGCAAUCAAAUGAGGAUGAACUUUCCUGGAAAUUGACCCUUAGAAUAGAUCUAGAAAGCACAGGGAGCAAAAAAAAAGCAAUUUUUUUGGUUUUUCUUGGGGGUUUUGCAUGGAUUUUCUCGGAAACCAAACAAGGAUGAAUUUUCCUGGAAAUUGAAUGGGGGCGGUGGCGAGAACAGAUCCAGAAAGCGUAUGGAACAAAAAAAAAGCAUUUUUUUUUGUUUUCCUUGGGGGUUUUGCAUGGAUUUUCUCAGAAACCAAACGAGGAUGAAUUUUCCUAGAAAUCAAAUGGGGGCGGUGGCGCGGUGGCGAGAACAGAUCCAGAAAGCGCAGGGAGCAAAGAAAAAGCAAUUUUUUUUUGUUUUCCUUAGGGGUUUUGCAUGGAUUUUCUCGAAAACCAAACGAGGAUUAAUUUUCUCACAAAUCGAAUGGGGGAUGGAGACCCCUAGAACAAAUCCAGAAAGCACAGGGAGUAAAAAAAAAAAAAAGCAUUUUUUUUUUUUUUGUUUUCCUAGGGGGUUUUGCAUGAAUUUUCUCAGAAAUCAAAUGAGGAUGAAUUUUCCCGGAAAUCGAAUGGGAGAUGGAUUUUCUUGGGGAUCAAACGGGGAUUUUUUUUUGCUUUCAUUGCCGCCGCCCACAUUCGAUUAUUGGGAAAAUUCAUCCUCUGUUGAUUGCCGACAAAAUCCAUGCAAAACCCCCAAAGAAAACCAAAAAAAAUUGUUUUUUUUGCUUGCUGACAGGAAAACCUAAAGGAUAAUUUUGGAAAUAAAAAUUUGAACAGUAAAUAGUACAUGAAACCUAUAAUAUUUUUUUUAUUACUCUCAUAUUUAUAUGGAUUUCCAAAAUCAGAGCAUAUAAACACAACUUUCCCAAAAUAAAGCACGAGGUAGCAGAAAUAAAUUGUUCUGGGCUUUAUUUCCUGUUGGCCCAUUUAGGAAAGGAGGAACGCAUAAAAAAUGUGAUUGUCGGGUUGAGGGUAGCUGGGUAGGCGUUGUUGGGCCUUCGGAGUCCCGGCCCGUUAUCCUUCCACCGAAGAGAGCGGGAAGUGAACGCUGCUCUGUGAAACCAGCCUCACGCGGUGCCCUCCAUCUCUAAGAACCCUAAGACCCAGACUUUCGCCCGGAUCGCGGGGCUCAACUCCCCACUUGGAAUGGGCGAACCAGGCCAAUUACCCCAUCAGGCCUUACCAACCCAGCCAGACCAAUCUCCAACCACACUGAUGCCCUCGCUUGAGUCACAAACUCUCGCUACUGAGUUCGGCAGAUGGAUGUCUACACCACAGAUAUUUUAAAGACUUCUUUUCUUGUAUUUCUUUUCGAUGUGGGACGACCUAGAGAAUUCCUGACUCAUUCUUCACCACACAUAUAGGGAAAGCCAAAAAGGGAUAUGAUAUGCUGCCUUUCUUGAACUUUGCUUACAAGAUCGAAAGUAAUUUUCCUUCGACAUGUGUGGCCUGUAUCAAAGAAUAGGAAAAUUAACGCAUAAUUAACGCAUCCUCCAUCCCCUCGAUGCAAAGGUGUUUUGGUAGUCAAAACCUACUUCUCCAAUACUGGGAAAAUAUGUUUGGCUUCAUUAUUCUCAUAAUUCACUUGGGGAAAACCAGGGAUCCAUUUUUACCUUCCAGGCCUAUGAAUGCUUUGUGCUUCUUUCAAUGGGGACAAGAACAACCAUUAGGAAUUUAUCACACAACAAUGCUCCUAAGUCCUAUGGUGGCCUCUAUCAGUGGGCAACAGUUGCUAGAUUUUGAGGGCUUAACCAGUAGCUUCAAUUUUAAGGAGGAGACAUUUUGCUCCACAACUCAUUUACUGGUCCUUAUUGUGGUUGGGAAGAUUUACAGAGAUCUGAGGUCUUGGUCAGAAGAAUUGGGCUUCUUCUUUGUGAAGGGAGUAACUCUAACAAAUCCUCGACUACAUUUAGAAUUUGUGAAUAUCUGAGAUAUAAUCAUCUGGGAUGAUCCAAUUGCUUGUGGAAUUACCCCUUUAGUAGGGCUGUUUGUGGAAUUAGUCAUUUCAUCAAGUUAUACAGUCUGUCUCACCAGCUUACUCAACCAGGAAUGCCUUCAUCCACAGACAAAGUUGAAACGCUGAAGAGCGCGGAGAACACGAGUUGGGUCAUUUUUUAUGUUUUCACCCAAAAAACAUCCAGAGAGUGUAUUGAGGGGAUGACUAUCCUCGAGCCAGUCAAGCUCUCAUGAGCAGGGAGAUACUGGUGGACUUUCUUGAAGUUCCAUGUGUUAAAAAUGUUCCUUGCCAAAUAUUGCAAUGAUUUUGGUACUUCGAACAGUCAUUCAAAUUUGGAGGUUUCGGAUGUGAAGCAAAUUCAGGCUCUUCCAUUCAUCUCUGUAUGGUUUUUCCAAGGGUGCUCUGGGGCUUCAUUUCUAAAAACAUCUGAGUGAAAAUUUGUGAGAGCUAGAGAAUCCAGUGGUCUCCUCUGCCUGCAUGAAGAUAUAUAGUUUGAGGAUGGAUGACUUCAGGGGGGUUCUCUUUUGUGAUCAUCCAUUUUUUUCUCUAAAUAUUCCACCAUGUUUACUAAACCUGAGCUGUUUUGAGGUCCAGUCCACCAUUUUUGUCACCACAACAAUUCUUCUCGGGGCUCAUUUAAUUCAUCAUACAUAACUGCUAUAAGAGAGACUAACUCAUACAAACAAAGGUAGUUGGGAGUCUCCUGAUCACAACCCUUCAACAAUGAAGGUUAGACAACCGACUGUUUUCUCUAUUAUACCAAAAUACUAAACCUUUUUAUAUAACAACUUUUGUUAAGAAAAAUAAGAAUAAGUUUCACUACAACUUUUAUAGUACUUUGGGUUAGUCUGGACACAUGAAAAUUAUCAAAACUAAGCCAAAGUGGAUUACUUGUUACCUAUAUUCUAAAAUGAAAUUAUCAAAUACUCGAAAGGUUUUUUACUUUAUCAAUUCAAGACUUGGGGUUUCACAAUUCAACUCUAGGAAUAGAACCCUAGAGUGAACAACAGUUUUUCCUUUAUGAUGAUCUUAAGGUUUUAAUGUAUAAUGAUGGAUUGAAAUCAAUCUAAGUUCUAUAACUUAGAGUUGCAUUCCAACCCUAAUUUAUGGUUCAAUCCCGAUACCUAAUUAUCAUCAAAUAAAUGAAACUUUACUACUCUUGUAGAUUUAUUGUACAAUAAGUGAUGGGAGAAAUAACAUAAAUAACUAUGGAUCAAGAAUUUCUAGUUUCCAUAUUGAUAUACUGUAUCAUCUCCUAAUUCAAAUUAUCUUGAAGAGUUUCUUGUUUUCAACAUUUUUACCUUAAAUUUUUAAUAAUGUCAUUACUAAUUCCUUUUUCCUAUUGUUUCUCUUUUAGAUUUCUAACCUUAGAUUUUCAUAUUUCACAUCCCAAUAUGGCAUUUACCCUCUCAUAGUGGUAUUGUCACUCACACAAUUUAUAGAAAAAGUUAAAACAUUAUUCUUGAAUUGAAGCAAACCUCAAGAAUCUUCAAUGCUCUCUCCAAAACAGUAAAGAAUGAACUAAAAUCCCUACUAACCCUAAAAUGUAAAAAGACAAACUAGUCACACGGCAUACCCAUAUAUAUUGGCCAAAAUAUUAAAAAAAAAAAAAAAAAAAAAAAAGUCCAUGAAUUUUCUAAAAAUAACAUUAUAUCUUUGAAUAUUGAAUCAUUCAAAUUCUUCUUGGGUAUAUAGUAGAUGCUUGGGAGGUCUAAAGAUUGAAAAGUUUGUAGGAUUUGAAGGACAUAUUUCAGAGCUGGGGGAGCCAAGUUCGGUUUCAAAACGUGGAGUUCAAAAUAUUAGAACUAAAAAUUUGGAGGAGUUUGAUGGAUUCCAUAUUGAUAUCAUUUAAUUCCUAUUGGCGGCCCAUUUGAAAAAGAGCAGAAAAAAUGUGGUUGUCGGGUUGAGAGAGGCUGGGUAGGCGUUGUUGGGCUUGAAGGGUCCCGGCCCGUUGUCCAUCCACCGAAGAGAGCGGGAGGUGAACGCUGCUCUGUGAAACCAGCCUCACGCGGUGCCCUCCAGCUUUAGGAACCCAAACACCCAGGCCUUAGCCCGAAUAUCGGGGCACAACUCCCUACUUGGAACGGGCAAGCCAGUUAAAUCACCCCACCAAGCCCUACCAACCCAGCCAGGCCAAUCUCCAACCACACUAACGCCCUCGCUUGAGUUACAAGCUCGCGCUGCUGAGCUCGGCGAUUUGUUGUUUACACCACAGGUAUUUUAAAGAAUUGUUUUCUUAUGUUUAUUUCCGAUGUGGGACGGCUUAGAGAAUUGCUGACUCAUUCACUCAAUCCUCGCCACAAUAGGGAAGCCAAAAGAGGGUAAGAUAUGCUACCUUUCUUUAACUUUGCUUACAAGAUUGAAAGCAAUUAUCUUCCCACAUGUGUGGUCUAUAUUAGGAAUUAUGGGGAAGAGUCUGUGUGGAUUGGCGUCAUUCCUCUUGAUUAAAGCAUUCUCCAUCCCCUCGAUGCAAGGUGUUUUGGUAAUCAAAACAUACUUCUCCAAUACUGG
Molecule: long non-coding RNA, 31800 nt
Filed under: Vitis vinifera (wine grape)
Lineage: Eukaryota; Viridiplantae; Streptophyta; Magnoliopsida; Vitales; Vitaceae
Description: long non-coding RNA (VVIN_LNC003679)
Source: RNAcentral